This 477-nucleotide unclassified non-coding RNA is filed under the name Hevea brasiliensis (rubber tree). The record is from RNAcentral. Lineage: Eukaryota; Viridiplantae; Streptophyta; Magnoliopsida; Malpighiales; Euphorbiaceae.
AUGGAUUCUCUUUCUCCACUCCACUCUAAACGGUAACAAUAUAUAUUAUAUGAUGAAUUUAUGUUCAUUUUCUCAUUUCCUCGGUUUUCCCAGCAUGCGACCAGAAAGGCAAAGAGUAAAGUUCCAAGUAUCGAAUACUCUAAAUGAACACGAGUCUAGCACAGGAUCAUCUACGCAGGAGGAGAGAAAAAGGGGACAUCCUGGAUCAAGAUGAAUCACUCAAUAUGAAAAUGGCCGAAUAUUAGAAAAGAAAUUACAGAAACAAUUCACACAAGAACAGCCAUUCAAUCACAGCAUCAAUACGCAAAUAAGGAAAAAUUCAGAGAGUAUAGAAGCUUUUGAGACACGCAAUACUAACAAGCCAUUAAUCAAUAAAGAAAAAACAUUCAAAAAAAUUGGAUAUCUAAACAAUCUAGAAAAAAACGGUAUCUAAACAUUACUAUGUAGAAGGAGAGACAGAGAAAGAGGGAGAGAUUU